Molecule: ribosomal RNA, 422 nt
Filed under: uncultured bacterium
Lineage: Bacteria
Description: bacterial SSU rRNA
Rfam family: Bacterial small subunit ribosomal RNA
Source: RNAcentral
GGAAUUGUUCGCAAUGGGCGCAAGCCUGACGACGCAACGCCGCGUGGAGGAUGAAGAUCUUCGGGUCGUAAACUCCUGUCGAGCGGGACGAAUGGUCCACGACCUAAUACGUCGUGGAAAUGACGGUACCGGCAGACGGAGCCCCGGCUACCUCCGUGCCAGCAGCCGCGGUAAUACGGGGGGGGCUAGCGUUGUUCGGAAUUACUGGGCGUAAAGGGCUCGUAGGUGGCCAACUAAGUCAUGCGUGAAAUCCCUCGGCUUAACCGGGGAACUGCGUCUGAUACUGGAUGGCUUGAAUCCGGGAGAGGGAUGCGGAAUUCCAGGUGUAGCGGUGAAAUGCGUAGAUAUCUGGAGGAACACCGGUGGCGAAGGCGGCAUCCUAGACCGGCAUUGACACUGAGGAGCGAAAGCCAGGGGAGCAA